Molecule: non-coding RNA, 72 nt
Organism: Aedes aegypti (yellow fever mosquito)
Lineage: Eukaryota; Metazoa; Arthropoda; Insecta; Diptera; Culicidae
Source: Rfam
GGCUCGGUAGCUUAGUUGGUAAAGCGCUCGCCUAGCAUACAAGAGUCCUGGGUUCAAAUCCCAGCCGAGCAC